AGAGUUUGAUCCUGGCUCAGGAUGAACGUUGGCGGUGUGCCUAAUACAUGCAAGUCGAACGGUGACGAUUUUGUAGCAAUACGAAUGAAAUCAUAGUGGCGAACGGGUGAGUAACGCGUUGGUGAUCUGCCUCGAAGUGUGGAAUAACUUCCCGAAAGGGUAGCUAAUACCGCAUAGUCUCUCAAGGUUUAGAAAAUUGAGAGUAAAGGAUUUAUUCGCUUCGAGAGGAGCCUGCGUCCCAUCAGCUAGUUGGUAGGGUAAUAGCCUACCAAGGCAAUGACGGGUAGGGGACCUGAGAGGGUGGCCCCCCACAAUGGAACUGAAACACGGUCCAUACACCUACGGGUGGCAGCAGUAGGGAAUAUUAGAAAUGGGCGAAAGCCUGAUCUAGCAACACCGCGUGUGCGAUGAAGGCCUUCGGGUUGUAAAGCACUUUUUGGAGGGGAUAGGAAGGAAGGUACCUCCAGAAUAAAUCUCGGCUAACUACGUGCCCAGCAGCCGCGGUAACACGUAGGAGGCAAACCGUUAUCCGGAUUCACUGGGCGUAAAGCGCGUGUAGGUGGUUCUGUAAGUAGGGCGUGAAAGCUCCCGGCUCAACUGGGAGAGGCCGUACUAAACUGCAGAGCUAGAGGAUGGUAGAGGGAGGUGGAAUUCCAGGUGUAGUGGUGAAAUGCGCAGAUAUCUGGAGGAACACCAGUGGCGAAGGCGGCCUCCUGGACCAUUCCUGACACUCAGACGCGAAAGCUAGGGUAGCAAACGGAAUUAGAGACUCCGGUAGUCCUAGCCCUAAACGAUGCAGACUAGGCGUCGGCGGUUUAAUCACCGUCGGUGUCCAAGCUAACGCGAUAAGUCUGCCGCCUGAGGAGUACGGCCGCAAGGCUAAAACUCAAAGGAAUUGACGGGUCCCCGCACAAGCAGCGGAGCGUGUGGUUUAAUUUGAUGCUCCGCGAAGAACCUUACCUGGGUUUGACAUAACAGUGGUAGAGAAGUGAAAACGGAUCGACCCUUCGGGGAGCUGUUACAGGUGUUGCAUGCCUGUCGUCAGCUCGUGUCGUGAGAUGUUCGGUUAAGUCCGCUAACGAGCGCAACCCGCGCUGUGUGUUACAAGUGUCACACAGUACCGCCGGUAUUAAGUCGGAGGAAGGUGCGGAUGACGUCAAGUCAGCAUGACCUUUAUAUCCAGGGCUACACACACGCUACAAUGGUCAGAACAAUAGGUUGCCAAGCCGCAAGGCGGAGCCAAUCCUCCAAAUCUGGCCUCAGUUCAGAUUGCAGGCUGCAACUCGCCUGCAUGAAGUCGGAGUUGCUAGUAACCGCAGGUCAGCAUACUGCGGUGAAUACGUUCCCGGGGAUUGUACACACCGCCCGUCA
Molecule: ribosomal RNA, 1371 nt
Filed under: uncultured bacterium
Lineage: Bacteria
Description: 16S ribosomal RNA
Rfam family: Bacterial small subunit ribosomal RNA
Source: RNAcentral